CCUACGGGGGGCAGCAGUGAGGAAUAUUGGUCAAUGGACGAGAGUCUGAACCAGCCAAGUAGCGUGAAGGAUGACUGCCCUAUGGGUUGUAAACUUCUUUUAUAUGGGAAUAAAACGUUCCACGUGUGGGAUUUUGUAUGUACCAUAUGAAUAAGGAUAGGCUAACUCCGUGCCAGCAGCCGCGGUAAUACGGAGGAUCCGAGCGUUAUCCGGAUUUAUUGGGUUUAAAGGGAGCGUAGGUGGAUUGUUAAGUCAGUUGUGAAAGUUUGCGGCUCAACCGUAAAAUUGCAGUUGAAACGGGCAGUCUUGAGUACAGUAGAGGUGGGCGGAAUUCGAGGUGUAGCGGUGAAAUGCGUAGAUAUCACGAAGAACUCCGAUUGCGAAGGCAGUUCACUGGACUGCAACUGACACUGAGGCUCGAAAGUGUGGGUAUCAAACAGGAUUAGAUACCCUAGUAGUC
Molecule: ribosomal RNA, 460 nt
Filed under: uncultured bacterium
Lineage: Bacteria
Description: partial 16S ribosomal RNA
Rfam family: Bacterial small subunit ribosomal RNA
Source: RNAcentral